AUUGAACGCUGACGGCGGGCUUAACACAUGCAAGUCGAGCGGUAACAGGAGAAGCUUGCUUCUCGCUGACGAGCGGCGGACGGGUGAGUAAUACUUAGGAAUCUACCUAGUAGUGGGGGAUAGCUCGGGGAAACUCGAAUUAGUACCGCACACGACCUACGGGAGAAAGGGGGCAACGUGUUGCUCUCGCUAUUAGAUGAGCCCAAGUCGGAUUAGCUAGAUGGUGGGGUAAAGGCCUACCAUGGCGACGAUCUGUAGCUGGUCUGAGAGGAUGAUCAGGCACACCGGGACAGAGACACGGCCCGGACUCCUACGGGAGGCAGCAGUGGGGAAUAUUGGACAAUGGGGGCAACCCUGAUCCAGCCAUGCCGCGUGUGUGAAGAAGGCCUUUUGGUUGUAAAGCACUUUAAGCAGUGAAGAAGACUCUAGGGUUAAUACCCUUAGACGAUGACAUUAGCUGCAGAAUAAGCACCGGCUAACUCUGUGCCAGCCGCCGCCGUAA
RNAcentral lists this ribosomal RNA (502 nucleotides) under uncultured bacterium. Its description in RNAcentral is "partial 16S ribosomal RNA". It matches the Rfam family "Bacterial small subunit ribosomal RNA", at positions 30 to 523 of the family's 1533-position model. The record is from RNAcentral.